GUGGUAAUGAUGGUGGUAGUGAUGGUGUUAAUGAGUGAGUGAUGGUGUAAAUGAUGGUGGUAAUGAUGGUGGUAGUGAUGGUGGUAAUGAUGGUGGUAGUGAUGGUGUUAAUGAUGGUGUGGGUGAUGGUGGUAUGAUGGUGUUAUUGAUGGUGGUAAUGAGUGAUGGUGUGGGUGAUGGUGUAAAUGAUGGUGUAAUGAUGGGGUUAAUGAUGGUGGGUAGUGAUGGUGUUAAUGAGUGAGUGAUGGUGUGGGUGAUGUAUUAAUGAUGGUGGUAGUGAUGGUGUUAAUGAGUGAGUGAUGGUGUAAAUGAUGGUGGUAAUGAUGGUGUGAGUGAUGGUGUAAAUGAUGGUGUUAAUGAUGGUGGUAGUGAUGGUGUUAAUGAUGGUGGUAGUGAUGGUGUUAAUGAGUGAGUGGAUGGUGUUAAUGAUGGUGGUAGUGAUGGUGUUAAUGAUGGUGUGAUGGUGUUAAUGAUGGUGUGGGUGAUGGUGGUAAUGAUGGUGUGAGUGAUGGUGUAAAUGAUGGUGGUAAUGAUGGUGGUAGUGAUGGUGGUAAUGAUGGUGGUAGUGAUGGUGGUAGUGAUGGUGUAAAUGAUGGUGGUAAUGAUGGUGUGGGUGAUGGUGGUUAAUGAUGGUGGUAGUGAUGGUGGUAGUGAUGGUGGUAAUGAUGGUGGUAGUGAUGGUGGUAGUGAUGGUGUAAAUGAUGGUGGUAAUGAUGGUGGUAGUGAUGGUGGUAAUGAUGGUGGUAGUGAUGGUGUUAAUGAUGGUGUGGGUGAUGGUGGUAAUGAUGGUGGUAGUGAUGGUGGUAAUGAUGGUGGUAGUGAUGGUGUUAAUGAUGGUGUGGGUGAUGGUGGUAGUGAUGGUGGUAGUGAUGGUGGUAGUGAUGGUGGUAGUGAUGGUGGUAAUGAUGGUGGUAGUGAUGGUGUUAAUGAUGGUGUGGGUGAUGGUGGUAGUGAUGGUGGUAAUGAUGGUGGUAGUGAUGGUGGUAAUGAUGGUGGUAGUGAUGGUGGUAAUGAGUGAAUGAUGAUGACGUUGGAUUCGAUCGUAUCGUUACAGUUCUAUAUUUGAACCCAUGUGUUAAAUGAUGUAGUGGCAGAAAUGAGCCCGGGUUAUUCCACGAUACCGAGCGUCUGAACGCAGCCUCGCUCACAGUCAACAUCGUCUCAUUAAUCCCUGAUCGAAUGGAACUUCAGCAUGAAAUCGAACUCGCCGUCUCACACACACACUUCUGACUCAUCUUCCGACUCCAGGAUUAAACUCAUGGGCGUGCGUUAUUUUAAAGCGGUUCUGAACACGACGGAAAGUUCCGUCUCUGGACUAACGAGCAUGCGCUGCUAAUCUCCAUUAACACGAGCGUGAAGCGCGCGAGACGCUAACUCUGUCCUGUGACACAGAGCCAUGCUGAGGACAGGAGAUGCAUUAUGGGAGGUAAGGUCAACACACACAAGGCACUAAUACUCGGAGCGAUGGGAAAAAUACGCGGUGCGGGUUUCAGGAGGCUGAAGUGCACUCGGUGAAAGCAGAUCAGCUAAUUAAGCGUCCUAGAUGCACUUAGCAACCCUGCGUGGGUCUGAUUGACUCGGAUGAAGCCGCUCUCACACGCUGCCUCUCAGGACAUUGCAGGUAAUUAC
This is a long non-coding RNA of Ictalurus punctatus (channel catfish), 1629 nucleotides long. The record is from Ensembl. Lineage: Eukaryota; Metazoa; Chordata; Actinopteri; Siluriformes; Ictaluridae.